Long non-coding RNA from Bombus impatiens (common eastern bumble bee), 135 nucleotides. RefSeq lists it as uncharacterized. The transcript is spliced from 3 exons. The record is from RefSeq and is a predicted model, not a curated record. NCBI's taxonomy places the organism in Eukaryota, Metazoa, Arthropoda, Insecta, Hymenoptera, Apidae.
UUUACAUAAAGAAUUUACAUAAAGUUAGAUGGACAAAAGGAAUAACAAUGAAUGUACAAUUCUAAAUUAAGUUUUGAAACCGGUCAUUUGACUUGGCCUGGUAACAUUAGUAUUAAUAGUACAUAUCUUAUAUUU